AGGGUCUCCUUCCGGAACCCGGACCAAAGAUGGACUUCAACAGCCCCAAGGGGAAAGGCCUGCCCUCGGAUCACCCUGCAGAGAGAUGGGUGCCGCCCUCCAGCGGCCGCCCAGGGAGGAGGGUCCACCCUGAGGGAGACACAAGCCCCAGCCUUAUCCCCAGCAGCACACAGAUGUCAGGGGACACCUCUCCCAUGACUUCAGCCACCUCCUCCUCUGCAGAUGAAUCUGAGCGGCUUCCUUCCUCACAGGCGAAGGUAACAACCCUUGUCAGACCCCAGAGGGCCCUGGCUUGCUGGGGCUGUUCACCUUCCAGACCGCAGGCCCCACGUGGGCUCCAGCUGCCGGGCCUCUGUUUCACAUCUGGGUUUAGGCUCACGUUUCAGUGCAGCUCACAGUCUCCAUUCUUUUUACCUGGGACCCUUCAGAAAUUACCUUCGCAGAGAUUAGCUGGAAAGAAAAAACUGGCAUGGAAGAGAGAGAGAAAUCAAAACAAAACAACAACAACAAAACAACAACAAAACAACAACAAAAAAACCCAGACCUCUUCACUUGAAAUCAUGGACUGACUACUGCUCCUACCCUGGGUUUACAAUGUAGUCCAACAAGAAAACUGUAGAAAGAAUUACCACAAGUAAGGGGCCAGCUAGUAGCGCUCCUGGUUGGGCGCACAUGUUACAGUGCACAGAGACCUGGGUUCAAACCCCCAGUCCCCACCUGCGGGGGUGGGGGGAAGCUUUCCGAGUGGUGAAGCAGGGCUGCAGGAGUCUCUCUCCCUCUCUAUCUCCCCUCCUCUCUCAAUUUCUAGCUGUCUCUAUCCAAUAAACAAAGAUAAUU
Molecule: long non-coding RNA, 837 nt
Organism: Erinaceus europaeus (western European hedgehog)
Lineage: Eukaryota; Metazoa; Chordata; Mammalia; Eulipotyphla; Erinaceidae
Exons: 2
Source: RefSeq, a predicted model, not a curated record